Oncorhynchus keta (chum salmon) is the source of this 2826-nucleotide long non-coding RNA. RefSeq lists it as uncharacterized. The transcript has 4 exons. The record is from RefSeq and is a predicted model, not a curated record. NCBI's taxonomy places the organism in Eukaryota, Metazoa, Chordata, Actinopteri, Salmoniformes, Salmonidae.
UUGUGAGCAGAGAUGCAGUUUUGACAAAUUGGUAGCGGAUUGAUGUUUUUUUUAUUUUUAAAUUUAAUGGUUCUAAAAUCGGAGGAUAUUUUCAUAUCUUGAUCUGAUGUUUACAGAACGUGAUGUAAUGCCGUGCAGUCAGUGACUGUCAGGACAUGUAUAGUACCAGAGGAGGGAUAUGGUCUCUGAGUUGGUCUCUUUAGGUGUCCUUUUAUGUGUGUUCCGUUUGUCCAUGUUAGACGGUCUUGUUGUUGCCUGUAGUGGGAGAUUUGAAAGGUUCGUUGUAAUAGGGAGUCCUCUAGCCUGUUGGCAGUGUAUUUAGCUGUAGAAGAUAUUCCACAAGUGUCCCCGGGUGUUUUAGACAAGGCCUUUCUUCAUCGUCAUCAUCAUCAUCAGAAAUGUUAACAGUAGAAAGCUUCCUAUUUCUAAUGGACUGGUUUCUAAAAUCAAACCAUUUUUUAAUUGGCUGAAUUAUUAAUGAUCCUGAAAUGAGGCCCUCUUCCCCUCCCUCUUGUUUCUAAAAUCAAACCAUUUUUUAAUUGGCUGAAUUAUUAAUGAUCUGAGGCCCUCUUCCCCUCUGUCGCCCGCUCAGCCAGUGGGUCAUUAUGGAUUAUUGGAACCGGCAAUUUACCGAUCAAGAAUCUCUGUCCCGUGUCCUCCUGCGUUGUUUCAGGGAAUUCCACAAACGGUCCUUCCCUCUUUUGUCCUGUGAGAACGAAACGGUCCUUCGUUCAUAUUUCAGUGUGUCGUGUACCAGCUGCUUUCUAAACGGUAGUGUCCAUGUUUUAGGCAGUGGACUAACAGUCAGUGGUCGUAUCUGACUGUAUCUUAACAGAUGGAAAUUGUCAUUUUGAAAGUGUCGAAAAAAGGGGUUUCUGAAAUACAAAACGUGAACUCGUAAAAGAACCACUGCUGCCCACGAGGACGUGGAUUAUAACAUAUGAAAUUGUUCUUCGGGGUUUAACGUGGGGCGUAUUUUCCUGUUCUCACUGCGCUUUACGUCUCGGACGCGCCGUGUCAUUCCUGAAAAGCAGUUUAACUGUCCGAGCGAACCUCAUUAACGUACUGUACUCCCUCCGUGGUGUCUGUCCAAUGAAAUGAGCAGUAGAUUGCCAGCGUUGUGUAGAACGCAGACAGACUUCAUACUAAGGAACGUUGGAAUCUCCCGAUUUUGAUUUAAUUUUCAUGCAAUCUGAAUAUCUGUUUAGUAGCCACUGAUGUCAUUGUUAAAAGGGGGGUUUUGUGGCGAGGGGUGUGUAUCGUCAGAGUAUCGUGUUUUAACGUGAUAUACGAGACGUUUUUUACGUGAUAUAAAAGAGACCGUUGUUGACGUGCUCUGACAACUCUCCUCGUCGUUGUGUCUUGAACUUUUAGCUUUUGGACGUGGAAAUGUUUUCGUUAGCAUUUUUUAAAAACCAAGAUUUGUAACAAAUGUAAAUAAAAUAAAAACAUUUUAAAAAGUAAAAUUGAUGUUAAAAAAAAGGUGUCAGAAUGUGGUCCCUGUUUUGCUGCCUCCUGCUCUGCUGAGCAGCGUCUCUGUACAGUCGUCUCUUACCAUCGUAACAUGGACUCUGUACAGUCGUCUCUUACCAUCGUAACAUGGACUCUGUACAGUCGUCUCUUACCAUCGUAACAUGGACUCUGUACAGUCGUCUCUUACCAUCGUAACAUGGACUCUGUACAGUCGUCUCUUACCAUCGUAACAUGGACUCUGUACAGUCGUCUCUUACCAUCGUAACAUGGACUCUGUACAGUCGUCUCUUACCAUCGUAACAUGGACUCUGUACAGUCGUCUCUUACCAUCGUAACAUGGACUCUGUACAGUCGUCUCUUACCAUCGUAACAUGGUGUCAGGACUCUGUACAGUCGUCUCUUACCAUCGUAACAUGGACUCUGUACAGUCGUCUCUUACCAUCGUAACAUGGUGUCAGGACUCUGUACAGUCGUCUCUUACCAUCGUAACAUGGUGUCAGGACUCUGUACAGUCGUCUCUCACCAUCGUAACAUGGUGUCAGGACUCUGUACAGUCGUCUCUCACCAUCGUAACAUGGACUCUGUACAGUCGUCUCUCACCAUCGUAACAUGGACUCUGUACAGUCGUCUCUCACCAUCGUAACAUGGACUCUGUACAGUCGUCUCUUACCAUCGUAACAUGGUGUCAGGACUCUGUACAGUCGUCUCUUACCAUCGUAACAUGGACUCUGUACAGUCGUCUCUUACCAUCGUAACAUGUUGUCAGGACUCUGUACAGUCGUCUCUUACCAUCGUAACAUGGACUCUGUACAGUCGUCUCUUACCAUCGUAACAUGGUGUCAGGACUCUGUACAGUCGUCUCUUACCAUCGUAACAUGGACUCUGUACAGUCGUCUCUUACCAUCGUAACAUGGUGUCAGGACUCUGUACAGUCGUCUCUUACCAUCGUAACAUGGACUCUGUACAGUCGUCUCUUACCAUCGUAACAUGGUGUCAGGGCUCUGUACAGUCGUCUCUUACCAUCGUAACAUGGACUCUGUACAGUCGUCUCUUACCAUCGUAACAUGGUGUCAGGGCUCUGUACAGUCGUCUCUUACCAUCGUAACAUGGACUCUGUACAGUCGUCUCUCACCAUCGUAACAUGGACUCUGUACAGUCGUCUCUUACCAUCGUAACAUGUUGUCAGGACUCUGUACAGUCGUCUCUUACCAUCGUAACAUGGUGUCAGAAGUGAAUCAAACUCAUCAAAUAAUAACAACCAAGUUCAUCCGAUAUAAGACCGGAAAAACAUUGUUAGACUCGACACGAGAGAAUAUCUGACAGAAAAUAAUACUAUUACGUGAGUUUGGUUGC